GGCCUUUAACACUUAUGCACAUACUAGGCCACAUUGACUUGCUUGUUGACGGUAUGGUCACCUCUUCUUGAUCAACUCUUACACCCGAAUGUUCUCUUCUUUGUUAGUUCCACCAACACUUCUAUCCACCACUUUCAUCGACCCAUCUCCUUAUUGUUAGACAUAAUUAAGCUUGGUCAAUACUAGCAACUUCUGUUCUAAUAACUCUUCCAACAAGUCUUCUAUAUUGUAAUGCAUCCUCAUACAACUCGUCAUCUUUCUCCCCCUUUCUAUUGACCUUGUAGCCAUCUUCUAGUGGAGUUUUAGCCGGUUUGCAACCUAACUUUCCUGUCUCUUGUAAAAGAUCAAGUGUGUACUUCCGUUGAGAUAAGAAGAGGCCUUCCGGAGAACGGCACACUUCUAUCCCAAGGAAGUACUUAAGCUCACCUAGAUCUUUAAUAUCGAAUGUAGAUUUGAGAAAGGAUUUAGUAGAUUCAAUACCUUCCUUGUUAUCUCCGGAGAUGAUAAGAUCAUCAACGUAUAUGAGUACAACGACAAUGCCUUGGGGACUUUGAAGAGUGAAGAGUGUAUGAUCCGAUUCUGAUUUCUUAAAGCCAUAAGUCUUAAGUGCAUUACUUAACUUAUGGUACCAUGCUCGCGGUGAUUGCUUGAGCCCAUAGAUCGCUUUCUUUAGCCUUAGUACUUUGCCGGGUUUGAUAGUAUCUUCAAGGCCGGGUGGAGGUGUCAUAUACACUUCAUCUUUAAGUUCUCCUUGAAGGAAUGAAUUUUUCACAUCCAUCUGCCACAAAUCCCAAGACAAGUUAGUAGCUAAUGAGAAAACAACCCUUACCGUGUGUAGCUUAGCUACGGGUGCAAAGGUCUCCGUGUAAUCGGCUCCAUAGGUUUGUGUGAAUCCUCUUGCUACCAACCGGGCUUUAUAUCUCUCAAUGUCUCCAUUACUAAGAUACUUGAUGGUAAAUACCCAUUUUGAGCUCACGGCUUUCUUUCCCGGAGGUAAAUCGAAUUCUUCCCAAGUAUGGUUCUUCUCCAUUGCUUGUAUCUCAUCGCCAACUGCAUUGUUCCAUUCUUCCUUUUCUUUUGCUUCUUCAUAGCUCUGAGGUAUCAGAUGUGCCUCAAUCUUCCCAAGGAAAGCUUGAUGAGCCGAUGGUAAAAGGUCAAUAGAACACACGGCUUGAAUGGGAUGCGCGACAGCUUGAUUAUUGUAAUAGGUCCGGGUAUUCUUCUUCAAGCUUGGAGGUGUAUAUCGUUGGGGAGCAACGCGUUGACGUGUGCUUCUCCUUACUGGUGCUGGAGUUGAGUUAUGGAUUUCUUCCUCCUCUGCUUCUAUCAUAGAUUCUUCCUCUAUGACCUCAUUUUCUUGAUGAUCGUGUCUAUUUUCUUGAUCGUGGUUCUGAUCUUGAAUACUACUCGUGACAGGUUCUUCCUCUGUUUCCGUAUCACUUGAAACUUCAACUGGUGCUUCAUCUCUUCCUUGUGGAGGUAUCUCUUGAUUUCCAAGGUGAUCUAGUAGAAACCUCAGGCUUCUUGCUCGAUCGGUAGUUGAAUGAGCUAAGUCUUUUAAACUUUCCCAGUUCGGCUUGUCAUAGUACCCAACUUCUUCCAUGAACUUCACAUCUCUUGAAACAUGUAACCGGUUGUUUGUAGGAUCAAAACACUUGUAUCCUUUUUGACUUGUAGAGUAGCCAAUAAACAUGCACUUCAUGCUUUUAGCUUCUAGCUUGUUUCUCAAGUCUCCGGGAACUAAUACAAAACAAACACACCCGAAAACACGUAAGUGAUCAAAAAUGGGCUUAUUUUUGUUUAGUACCUCAAAUGGAGACUUGUCAUGUAGAACUUUGGUAGGAGUUCUAUUAAUAAGGUAGCACGCUGUUAAGACAGCAUCUCCCCAAAAUCUUUUUGGUACAUGAGUGUGAAACAUCAUUGAUCUUGUCACCUCCAUGAGAUGUCUAUUCUUUCUUUCGGCUACGCCAUUUUGUUGUGGUGUGUAGGGGCAACUUGUUUGAUGUAUGAUUCCGUGUUUUACUAGGUGCUCUUUGAAUCUUUAGCUAGUGUAUUCUCCUCCAUUAUCCGUCCUAAACACUUUAAUCUUGGCAUUAAAUUGGUUAGUGACAUAGUUUUGAAAGUUUGUGAAUGCAUAAAACACACGAUCCUUAGAGGGAAGUAAUGUGACCCAAGUAUAUUUAGAUUUCUCAUCUAUAAAUGUCACAAAAUACUUGUUAUUGUCUCUAGAAGCGCAUGGUGAUGUCCAAACAUCCGAAUGAACUAAGUCAAAACAAUUUUCAUAAAUAGUAGACGAUUUAGGAAAAACGGUUUUGCAAUGUUUACCGAGAAUACAAGCUUCACAACUAAUAUUAUUGAAAGAAACACUAGGCAUCAUUAACUCAAGAGCGCGAGAGUGAGGAUUACCUAGUCUAGCAUGCCACAUCGCAUUAUUUGAGACACCUAAACAAGACUUAAACGAAAAAGACUUAGAAUUAGAGACUCUCGGGGAAGCAUUUUCUAGAAUGUAAAGAUCAUCUUUGGUUCCUCCUUCUCCGAUUACUUUCCCGGUCUCAAUAUCCUGAAAAUGCACAUUGUUAGGACUGAAUAUUGCAUAACAAUUAAGAUCUUUAGUUGCCCUUCUAACCGAUAACAAGUUUGAGCAAAAAUCCGGCAUAUAAAACGCUUUAGUCUCCUUGUUAAAUAACUUCAAGUUGCCUAUUCCACUCACAUGAAUUUUACCACCAUUUGCAAUUAACACAUUUCCCUUAGCCGGUUCUAUGUUCUUUAAGAGACUACGGUUACUAAUCAUGUGAUGUGAAGCCCCCGAGUCAACUACAAGAGAUCUAGAUGGCUUAUGAGUUAAGAAGGUGAUACCGGAUUCUUUGAGUGAGGCAAUAGACUUGAAGAGAGCUUCCAAGUCUGACUUUCUUACGAAAUCAUCACCGUUUGCUAUCAUGGCCAUCUCUCCCCCUUGCUUCGAAGCUCCGGCUUGGCUUUGGUCUUCACCGGAUUCUUGAGUGAGGUACCGGUUGGCCUUGUGUUCCUUGAACUUUGAUGGUUUGAGAUGAGGAUGAAGGACCCAGCACUUGUCUUUGGCGUGACCUUUCUUCUUACAAUGAUCACACAUCAAUGACUUCUUGUCCUCAUGCUUGUAAGCUCCCUUGUUUGCCGAUGGUAGCUCGCUUUUCCCACUAAAGAGACCAAAAGAUCCUUGUUCCUUUUGGACUUGAGAGCACACACUAUCAAGGCUUGGGAGCUUUUCAGCCCUUAAGAGAUGCUUGAUGAGAUCGUUGUAGGAUGAGUUUAAGGUUAGGAGAAGAGCAAAGACCUUGUCUUGUUCCCUUCUUUCGUUGAGAGUUUCCGGAUCGAGAGUACUUGGCCUCAACAUCUCGAGUUCGGCCCAAAGGGAUCUAAAUUUCCCAAAGUGCUUGGUGAACUCCAUGUCUUCUUGACUCAGAUUGUUGAUGGCCUUCUUUACUUCAAAUACCCUAGUGAGAUUGGAGAGAUUGCCGUACACGUUCUUGAGUGUAUUCCAAAGGUCAAUCACAGUCUCACAAUAGGAAUAUGCUUCCAGUAUUGGAGCAUCCAAGGAGUUUUGGAGAAGCGAGAGAACGGCUUGAUCUUCUUGGAACCAUUUCUUUUUCUUGGCUUCUUUGGUGUCCUUCUCGGAUGAGCUCUUCUUCUCAUCGUCUUCUUUGUCGGCUUCGUUUGAGGAUUGGACAUUUUCGAUAUGACUCCACAACCCUCGGCCACAAAGAACAGCCUUUGUAGUUCUAGACCACAAAAGAUAGUUUGGUCCUUUGAGAACGACCGGAAGCACAACCGGUUUAGUAGUGUUCUCCGUUAGAUCCAUAAAAAGAAAAGAGAAAAAAAAUGAAACUUAGGAGAUGAAUAAACGAGAAAGGCGAGAUCUUUGAAUGAAAUGAAGAGUUAAUGAGGUUGAAAAACGGAUCUACGCUCUGAUACCAUGUUGAUAUUGCGGAAGUAAUAAGAGAGAUUUGGAGAAUAAGUAAAAACAGAGAGAGUUGUAAGAACAGGAGAGUUGAUGUUUUUGCUGAAAGAUUAAAUAGAGAAUAGGAGAAAGAUGAUUGUAUUAAUUGAUAAAUAGUAUUUGCGUUACAUUUCCUUUUAUAGGAGAUACCAAAGAGGUAAGAACUAGGUUUAGAGGCAACACAAUGAUGAGAGGCGGCCAAAGUGGUCCAACGAGUAAGCCGUACGGUUUGUUUGUAUUAGGAGGACAAUGCCGCGUCACUCCUUAUCAACAAACGGCUAUAUGUGUGUUCCAGCGCCUUCUAGAAGACUUCUCCUUGGGCUUGUCUUGAUAAAGGCCUCAAGCUUUGAUAUCUCUCGGCCUUUAACACUUAUGCACAUACUAGGCCACAUUGACUUGCUUGUUGACGGUAUGGUCACCUCUUCUUGAUCAACUCUUACACCCGAAUGUUCUCUUCUUUGUUAGUUCCACCAACACUUCUAUCCACCACUUUCAUCGACCCAUCUCCUUAUUGUUAGACAUAAUUAAGCUUGGUCAAUACUAGCAACUUCUGUUCUAAUAACUCUU
Molecule: long non-coding RNA, 4540 nt
Filed under: Arabidopsis lyrata
Lineage: Eukaryota; Viridiplantae; Streptophyta; Magnoliopsida; Brassicales; Brassicaceae
Description: long non-coding RNA (ALYR_LNC000057)
Source: RNAcentral